RNAcentral lists this ribosomal RNA (448 nucleotides) under uncultured bacterium. RNAcentral's name for it is "partial 16S ribosomal RNA". It matches the Rfam family "Bacterial small subunit ribosomal RNA", at positions 328 to 792 of the family's 1533-position model. The record is from RNAcentral.
GCCCCAGACUCCUACGGGAGGCAGCAGUGGGGGAUAUUGCACAAUGGGGGGAACCCUGAUGCAGCGACGCCGCGUGGGUGAAGGAGCGUUUCGGCGCGUAAAGCCCUAUCGGCAGGGAAGAAGGAGGACGGUACCUGACUAAGAAGCCCCGGCUAACUACGUGCCAGCAGCCGCGGUAAUACGUAGGGGGCAAGCGUUAUCCGGAUUUACUGGGUGUAAAGGGAGCGUAGACGGCGUCGCAAGUCUGAAGUGAAAGCCCGUGGCUCAACCGCGGAACCGCUUUGGAAACUGCGAGGCUGGAGUGCUGGAGAGGUAAGCGGAAUUCCUGGUGUAGCGGUGAAAUGCGUAGAUAUCAGGAGGAACACCGGUGGCGAAGGCGGCUUACUGGACAGUGACUGACGUUGAGGCUCGAAAGCGUGGGGAGCGAACAGGAUUAGAUACCCUGGUA